UGUAGGGGUGCAUGUAGGCACGGUCCUUGUGAUGCGGUACGUGAUGGUGUGUGAGUGGUAUUUGGUUUGUGGGGUUGGCGGGCUCUUUGCUUGUGCAUUGGACCGUUCACCAACGUACCUUUUCAUUGUAUGCUGCAAGUGCGCACCGUUUUGCCUUGGGCGACGUGUGGUCCCUAUGUUGGAUUCCGAUUAACGGUAUUGUUGCUGUCCCUUUAAAGAGUGAUAUUCGCUCUACGUCCGUAAAAGGAGGUCGAGCGGACCAUGAAGCUUGACUCGUUAUCCUCCUGUUUUGUGAAAACAAGCAUGAUAGGGUUGGAUUAUGAUCUCAAGUUGGGCCCUAGGAUACAGAAAGUUGUGUGGGAGUUGAUGUUAAGACGUCGCAAACCCAAAGCGUUGGUACGCUAACGAUGGAUGACAUUCGAGUGUGUUGUGAUUCUUUCAUUCUUGAAAGGUUCAUGCGCGCCGAUGUCGACCAAGGAGUGCUACCUGGUUGAUCCUG
This 499-nucleotide unclassified non-coding RNA is filed under the name Salicornia sp. Mucina 090306/01. Its description in RNAcentral is "partial external transcribed spacer". The record is from RNAcentral. Lineage: Eukaryota; Viridiplantae; Streptophyta; Magnoliopsida; Caryophyllales; Amaranthaceae.